AAUCUCCCAAUCUGCGCGGUUGCACUUGCUUGAAGUAGUGUAAUUGUCGUAAAUGGAGAGAGAAAGAAAACUGAAUUUUAAGAGUAUAACAGAGAGAUCUUCUUAUGGUCUCUCUGUUUCCUCUGAAAUCCUACACUU
Small nucleolar RNA from Chrysolophus pictus (golden pheasant), 138 nucleotides. The record is from Ensembl. NCBI's taxonomy places the organism in Eukaryota, Metazoa, Chordata, Aves, Galliformes, Phasianidae.